This 464-nucleotide ribosomal RNA is filed under the name uncultured bacterium. RNAcentral's name for it is "partial 16S ribosomal RNA". It matches the Rfam family "Bacterial small subunit ribosomal RNA", at positions 29 to 507 of the family's 1533-position model. The record is from RNAcentral.
ACGAACGCUGGCGGCGUGCUUAACACAUGCAAGUCGAACGGAAAGGCCCUGCUUGCAGGGUACUCGAGUGGCGAACGGGUGAGUAACACGUGGGUGAUCUGCCCUGCACUUCGGGAUAAGCCUGGGAAACUGGGUCUAAUACCGGAUAGGAGCCAUUUUUAGUGUGAUGGUUGGAAAGUUUUUUCGGUGUAGGAUGAGCUCGCGGCCUAUCAGCUUGUUGGUGGGGUAAUGGCCUACCAAGGCGGCGACGGGUAGCCGGCCUGAGAGGGUGGACGGCCACAUUGGGACUGAGAUACGGCCCAGACUCCUACGGGAGGCAGCAGUGGGGAAUAUUGCACAAUGGGCGCAAGCCUGAUGCAGCGACGCCGCGUGGGGGAUGACGGCCUUCGGGUUGUAAACUCCUUUCGCUAGGGACGAAGCUUUUUGUGACGGUACCUAGAUAAGAAGCACCGGCUAACUGCGUG